Molecule: ribosomal RNA, 253 nt
Filed under: uncultured bacterium
Lineage: Bacteria
Description: partial 16S ribosomal RNA
Rfam family: Bacterial small subunit ribosomal RNA
Source: RNAcentral
UACAGAGGUCCCAAGCGUUGUUCGGAUUCACUGGGCGUAAAGGGUGCGCAGGUGGGUUUGCAAGUUCGAUGUGAAAGCCCCGGGCUUAACCCGGGAAUGGCAUUGGAUACUGCAGAUCUGGAGGAUCGGAGGGGGGACUGGAAUUCUUGGUGUAGCAGUGAAAUGCGUAGAUAUCAAGAGGAACACCAGUGGCGAAGGCGAGUCCCUGGACGAUACCUGACACUGAGGCACGAAAGCUAGGGGGGCAAACAGG